Molecule: long non-coding RNA, 1163 nt
Organism: Hemicordylus capensis (graceful crag lizard)
Lineage: Eukaryota; Metazoa; Chordata; Lepidosauria; Squamata; Cordylidae
Exons: 2
Source: RefSeq, a predicted model, not a curated record
CCUGAAGCCUGAACUCGGCAGGCCCCAGCAAGCCAGGAAGGAGGCUGUCAGAGCUCCCUGCAGCAGACCAGACCAUCCAGCACAGCUUUUGCAAGGAACAAACUUCUAAUUAAGAAAACAUAAAAGAUUGCUAGAUAGAAUACAUCAACCCUUCAAUGAAAAGGAGGAUACUGGACGGAGCCAAUCAGAAGACACUGAUAGCAGAAAAGGAGACCACUUUUCCUUAGACACAACAAAAGAAAUCUUAAGCCAGAGCAGACAUUGUGCCACUGGAAUGAACCCUCUGUCACAGGCACCAAGAUACAAUUAUUCCUGAUGCGUUUAUGAUAUCUGUUACCACCCUGAUCCAUUUUAGGAAGGGCGGUAUAGAAACUGAAUGAAUGAAUAUCAUGCAACAUUGCUAACUUCAAGGAGUAGCAUUCACAGCAGCACUCAUGAAAGGGCUUUUUGCUCUGCAAAGUUGUACUACAACUAGUGGAAGAACAACCACUUGAAUACAUAUUGUUCAAAGAGUUUUCCAUUUGUGUAUAUGUAAACUUGUGCAAGUGUGUAAGAGUCUGUGCAACAACUGCAUUGUAUUGUGCUAGCAUAAGGACUAGUUUGGAACAGAGAUGGAUUUCUUUGUACAACAGCUGUUAUAUGUCAGAUUUGUAUUAUGUCACUUUUUUGUUUCCUCCCUUUAUAGCUGUGCUCAUGCUUACAGUGACUCAUCGGCAUUGAUACUAGCGCAAGACAAUGAAUGCUACCCAAAGUGUGAAAAUUAUGGAAAGAAUUGCCAAUGGGACUCAUCACUAAGCUCCAAAAUUCUGCUCUAGGUGAAGGAGAAGAGCCCUAUCUCUUCUAUCCAGAGAAGAUUCAAGAGGAGGCCCAAGGAGUUGUUGGGGUUUUUUUUGCUGCUUUAGAUAAAUUAGAAUGUUGCUGACUCACUGUCUUAUUGAAGGCUGAACAAUAUAGGGCUAAUUCAAAUGAAACCAGCCCCAGCACACAGAAAGAAGGAGGUGUACACCACAAGAGUGCUGGUCAGGACAUCCUCCCACUGUGUCACUUGAUUGAGUGUGUGGACUGUUCUAAAUGGUCCCUAAACAUAUGCACUAAAUACUUGUUGAAAUAUGUGUUUGAACUGGCCCAUAAUAGCACAAUAAAUAAACUAGCGCUGACUGGAA